AUACGGAGGGUGCGAGCGUUAAUCGGAAUUACUGGGCGUAAAGGGUCCGUAGGCGGUCUGCUUAGUCUGAUGUGAAAGCCCCGGGCUUAACCUGGGAAUGGCAUUGGAUACUGGCGGACUAGAGUCUGGUAGAGGGUGGUGGAAUUCCCGGUGUAGCGGUGAAAUGCGUAGAUAUCAGGACGAACACCAGUGGCGAAGGCGGCCACCUGGACCAAGACUGACGCUGAGGGACGAAAGCGUGGGGAGCAAACAGGAUUAGAAACCCUAGUAGUCC
This 274-nucleotide ribosomal RNA is filed under the name uncultured bacterium. RNAcentral describes it as "partial 16S ribosomal RNA". It matches the Rfam family "Bacterial small subunit ribosomal RNA", at positions 523 to 796 of the family's 1533-position model. The record is from RNAcentral.